GGAAAGGCGCGCGAUACAGGGUGACAGCCCCGUACACAAAAAUGCACAUGCUGUGAGCUCGAUGAGUAGGGCGGGACACGUGGUAUCCUGUCUGAAUAUGGGGGGACCAUCCUCCAAGGCUAAAUACUCCUGACUGACCGAUAGUGAACCAGUACCGUGAGGGAAAGGCGAAAAGAACCCCGGCGAGGGGAGUGAAAAAGAACCUGAAACCGUGUACGUACAAGCAGUGGGAGCUCGCUUAGGCGUGUGACUGCGUACCUUUUGUAUAAUGGGUCAGCGACUUAUAUUCUGUAGCAAGGUUAACCGAAUAGGGGAGCCGAAGGGAAACCGAGUCUUAACUGGGCGUUAAGUUGCAGGGUAUAGACCCGAAACCCGGUGAUCUAGCCAUGGGCAGGUUGAAGGUUGGGUAACACUAACUGGAGGACCGAACCGACUAAUGUUGAAAAAUUAGCGGAUGACUUGUGGCUGGGGGUGAAAGGCCAAUCAAACCGGGAGAUAGCUGGUUCUCCCCGAAAGCUAUUUAGGUAGCGCCUCGUGAAUUCAUCUCCGGGGGUAGAGCACUGUUUCGGCAAGGGGGUCAUCCCGACUUACCAACCCGAUGCAAACUGCGAAUACCGGAGAAUGUUAUCACGGGAGACACACGGCGGGUGCUAACGUCCGUCGUGAAGAGGGAAACAACCCAGACCGCCAGCUAAGGUCCCAAAGUCAUGGUUAAGUGGGAAACGAUGUGGGAAGGCCCAGACAGCCAGGAUGUUGGCUUAGAAGCAGCCAUCAUUUAAAGAAAGCGUAAUAGCUCACUGGUCGAGUCGGCCUGCGCGGAAGAUGUAACGGGGCUAAACCAUGCACCGAAGCUGCGGCAGCGACGCUUAUGCGUUGUUGGGUAGGGGAGCGUUCUGUAAGCCUGUGAAGGUGUGCUGUGAGGCAUGCUGGAGGUAUCAGAAGUGCGAAUGCUGACAUAAGUAACGAUAAAGCGGGUGAAAAGCCCGCUCGCCGGAAGACCAAGGGUUCCUGUCCAACGUUAAUCGGGGCAGGGUGAGUCGACCCCUAAGGCGAGGCCGAAAGGCGUAGUCGAUGGGAAACAGGUUAAUAUUCCUGUACUUGGUGUUACUGCGAAGGGGGGACGGAGAAGGCUAUGUUGGCCGGGCGACGGUUGUCCCGGUUUAAGCGUGUAGGCUGGUUUUCCAGGCAAAUCCGGAAAAUCAAGGCUGAGGCGUGAUGACGAGGCACUACGGUGCUGAAGCAACAAAUGCCCUGCUUCCAGGAAAAGCCUCUAAGCAUCAGGUAACAUCAAAUCGUACCCCAAACCGACACAGGUGGUCAGGUAGAGAAUACCAAGGCGCUUGAGAGAACUCGGGUGAAGGAACUAGGCAAAAUGGUGCCGUAACUUCGGGAGAAGGCACGCUGAUAUGUAGGUGAAGUCCCUCGCGGAUGGAGCUGAAAUCAGUCGAAGAUACCAGCUGGCUGCAACUGUUUAUUAAAAACACAGCACUGUGCAAACACGAAAGUGGACGUAUACGGUGUGACGCCUGCCCGGUGCCGGAAGGUUAAUUGAUGGGGUCAGCGCAAGCGAAGCUCUUGAUCGAAGCCCCGGUAAACGGCGGCCGUAACUAUAACGGUCCUAAGGUAGCGAAAUUCCUUGUCGGGUAAGUUCCGACCUGCACGAAUGGCGUAAUGAUGGCCAGGCUGUCUCCACCCGAGACUCAGUGAAAUUGAACUCGCUGUGAAGAUGCAGUGUACCCGCGGCAAGACGGAAAGACCCCGUGAACCUUUACUAUAGCUUGACACUGAACAUUGAGCCUUGAUGUGUAGGAUAGGUGGGAGGCUUUGAAGUGUGGACGCCAGUCUGCAUGGAGCCGACCUUGAAAUACCACCCUUUAAUGUUU
Molecule: ribosomal RNA, 1883 nt
Filed under: Escherichia coli
Lineage: Bacteria; Pseudomonadati; Pseudomonadota; Gammaproteobacteria; Enterobacterales; Enterobacteriaceae
Description: partial 23S ribosomal RNA
Rfam family: Bacterial large subunit ribosomal RNA
Source: RNAcentral